Molecule: long non-coding RNA, 491 nt
Organism: Pieris brassicae (large cabbage white)
Lineage: Eukaryota; Metazoa; Arthropoda; Insecta; Lepidoptera; Pieridae
Exons: 3
Source: RefSeq, a predicted model, not a curated record
GAUGCUAUUUGUUUUUGUGUGAAAUAAUUUUAUUUUAUUUAUUUAAACAGUUGAAGACUUUCAGCGGCAACUACCGUGGGUUUAUAUAAAUUUAUAUUACAAUAUAAAUAGAUCAAUAAGCAAACAGAAGCUUCAAGAACUUUACAGAUCGAGUAAAAUAACAAUUCUCAAUUUUAAAAAUGUGCACAGGUAUCGUGUGAGUCGCCGCCAGGUCGCGGCCGCGUAGCGACGUGCGGCGGGCGGCGCGGCCGGAGCGGGACUGGGCCGGGAGAAUCGCGCUUGCGUGCGCCGCCCUACACCCCCGAUUGAUUAAAACAGACAACCCUGGCAACAUAUGUAUGUGAUUCUGACGUUUCCUAUCAGCGGAUCUCCGGCGGGAUGCUGGAAAUUAGUUGCGGUGCGAUCACAGUUUCACGCCGCAUAUCAUCGCGACUAUCUCAGGCAUAAAUGUUUACCUAACCGACUAUAAUGUAGGCUUUAUCAAGCAUUUA